RNAcentral lists this small nuclear RNA (163 nucleotides) under Microtus ochrogaster (prairie vole). RNAcentral's name for it is "U1 spliceosomal RNA (ENSMOCG00000006164.1)". It matches the Rfam family "U1 spliceosomal RNA". From Rfam's summary of the family: U1 is a small nuclear RNA (snRNA) component of the spliceosome (involved in pre-mRNA splicing). Its 5' end forms complementary base pairs with the 5' splice junction, thus defining the 5' donor site of an intron. There are significant differences in sequence and secondary structure between metazoan and yeast U1 snRNAs, the latter being much longer (568 nucleotides as compared to 164 nucleotides in human). The record is from Rfam by way of RNAcentral. Lineage: Eukaryota; Metazoa; Chordata; Mammalia; Rodentia; Cricetidae.
UUGUUUAUCUGGCAGUGGAGAUACCAUGAUCACGAAGAUGGCUUUCCCAGGGCGAAGCUUAUCCAUUGCACUGCAGAUGAGCUGACCCUGUGAUUUCCCCAAAUGCAGCAAACUUGACUGCAGAAUUUGUAGUAAUGGGGGAUUGUGUUCAUGCUCUCCCAUU